GCCACAGGUGGCUACUGAGCACUUGAAACAUAGCUACUCUGAAUUGGGAUGCGUGAUCAGUGUAAAAUUCACAGGAUUUCGAAGACUUUGUAAGAGACUGCACAAGCAGGGAAAGGGCAGAGAGCAAGAAGGACAGAGGAUAAGCAGGCUCUGCCCUGAGAGCAAUGAACCCGAUGUGGGGCUUGAACUCAUGAACUGUGAGAGCAUGACCGGAGCCAAAGUCGGACGAUCAACCAACUUCCACCUCCCAAAGUACAUCUGCUCUCCUUAGGUGGACUUCAGAAAUGGGCAUUACUCAGGCUGGAGAUGAAUCAGCGCACAAUGAAGGAGACAGGCAGGGGAUCCAGACAAAGGAGAGAAGUAUUGAAAAAAAAUCCCCAUUUAUACCAAAUCAAGAAAGUGAUCCUUUCAGCAGAGGCUGUCUCAAGAAACUUCCACUCCUUCGCAAUGCAAAUUUAACUAAACAACUUGAUUUUCCCAUCAAGUUCAUUAAAAAUGGAAUAAUUUCACAUAUGUGGCCAUUAAGCACAAUGUCGUUGUUUAUAAGCUUGGCUCACACUCACACGAGGAUGAUUACCCCAGAGUACUUACCGCCUUAGGACAUUUCUGAGAUACUGGUGUCACUAUGUCAUCACUAUCUGUAGUCUGUGCUUCACUGACUUCAGAAGCUUGUUCACAGGAUUCUUUAUCUGUUACAGAAAAGGCUAGAAUUACAGAACGAUUUCCAAGCACCCUAUCUAAACCCAGUACCUUCAUCCUCAAUCCAUUAUCUGGCCACUAGUUCUGAGUACCUAGAUUUUGGCUUCAUUUACUGAGAAUCAAACCCUCCUUUUCUUUUUUUUUUUUUUUAUUAUAUGAAAUUUAUUGUCAAAUUGGUUUCCAUACAAC
Molecule: long non-coding RNA, 888 nt
Organism: Acinonyx jubatus (cheetah)
Lineage: Eukaryota; Metazoa; Chordata; Mammalia; Carnivora; Felidae
Exons: 3
Source: RefSeq, a predicted model, not a curated record